Molecule: ribosomal RNA, 1235 nt
Filed under: metagenome
Description: bacterial LSU rRNA
Rfam family: Bacterial large subunit ribosomal RNA
Source: RNAcentral
UGAAUACGAGACGCUAAGGCGUCGAAGUAGUGUAUGUCAUACUUCCAAGAAAAGCUCGCACUGUCAUAGAUAAAAAACGCCUGUACCAUAACCGACACAGGUGGGUAGGUAGAGUAUACUAAGGGGCGCGAGAUAACUCUCUCUAAGGAACUCGGCAAAAUAACUCCGUAACUUCGGGGGAAGGAGUGCCUUAUUCGUAAGGUUGCAAUAACAAGAUCCAAGCAACUGUUUAUCAAAAACACAGGUCUCCGCUAAGUCGUAAGACGAUGUAUGGGGGCUGACGCCUGCCCAGUGCCAGAAGGUUAAAGAAGUUGGUUAGCAAUUGCGAAGCUGAUAACUGAAGCCCUGGUGAACGGCGGCCGUAACUAUAGCGGUCCUAAGGUAGCGAAAUUCCUUGUCGGGUAAGUUCCGACCCGCACGAAAGGCGUAAUGAUUUGGAUACUGUCUCGGAGAGGGGCUCGGUGAAAUAGACUUGUCUGUGAAGAUGCGGACUACCUGCACCAGGACAGAAAGACCCUAUGAAGCUUUACUGUAACUUGAAAUUGAAAUUGGACUUUAUUCGCGCAGUAUAGGUGGGAGGCGUUGAUUAUAAUCUUGUGGGAUUAUUGGAGCCAUCAGUGAGAUACCACUCUUGUAAUGUUAGAUUUCUAACUUUGAAUCAUUAUCUGGUCAAAGAACAGUUUCAGGCGGGCAGUUUGACUGGGGCGGUCGCCUCCUAAACGGUAACGGAGGCGUACAAAGGUUUCCUCUGAACGGUUAGAAAUCGUAUCUAGAGUGUAAAGGCAUAAGGAAGCUUGACUGUGAGACCUACAAGUCGAGCAGGGACGAAAGUCGGUCUUAGUGAUCUGACGGUACUGAGUGGAAAGGCCGUCACUCAACGGAUAAAAGUUACUCUAGGAUAACAGGCUGAUCUCCCCCAAGAGUUCACAUCGACGGGGAGGUUUGGCACCUCGAUGUCGGCUCAUCGCAUCCUGGGGCGGUAGUACGUCCCAAGGGUUGGGCUGUUCGCCCAUGAAAGCGGUACGCGAGCUGGGUUCAGAACGUCGUGAGACAGUUCGGUCCAUAUCCGGUGUAGGCGUUAGAAUAUUGAGAGGAGCCUUCCUUAGUACGAGAGGACCGAGAAGGACAUACCUCUGGUGUACCAGUUAUCGUGCCAACGGUAAACCUGGGUAGCUAUGUAUGGAGUGGAUAACCGCUGAAAGCAUCUAAGUGGGAAGCCCACCUCAAGAUAAGUA